ACAGGGAGACAACAAAAUGUUUAAUAUUAUUAUUUUGUCACCUUAGGUCGAUCGGUAUCUCACGUUUUUAAUUUAUUAAGAAUUUCAUUUCCUAAGUUUUUCUAGGUCACACCCAUUAUUUUUCCUGGGCCAUUAGCUCAGGUGGUUAGAGCGCACCCCUGAUAAGGGUGAGGUCCCUGGUUCAAGUCCAGGAUGGCCCAUAUCUCUAUGUUGGGGGUAUAGCUCAGUUGGUAGAGCGCCUGCUUUGCAAGCAGGAUGUCAGCGGUUCGAGUCCGCUUACCUCCACUGAUUACCACCUCUUCCAUAAUUUGAAGAAAGGAAAUUUUUUGAGCUGUGAUCAAAUUCUGAACGAAUCUAGCUUCCUAAUGAAUCCAUUAAGAUGCUGGACUCAUUGAAUUAAUUUUCAUUGUUUUCAGAGAACCUUGACAACUGCAUAGAUUAUUUUUAAAGACAAUAAGCAUCUUUAAUGAUGCAGAUUUAUUAUUUGUGCGAAUGCAUUAAUAACAAUUCUAUUAAGCUGAUGCUUCAAUUUAAUGAAGUUAUU
Molecule: transfer RNA, 544 nt
Filed under: uncultured Prochlorococcus sp.
Lineage: Bacteria; Bacillati; Cyanobacteriota; Cyanophyceae; Synechococcales; Prochlorococcaceae
Description: partial 16S-23S ribosomal RNA intergenic spacer
Rfam family: tRNA (bases 213-285)
Source: RNAcentral